CAGUAGCCACGGUAAUACAGAGGGUGCAAGCGUUAAUCGGAAUUACUGGGCGUAAAGCGCGCGUAGGUGGUUUGUUAAGUUGGAUGUGAAAUCCCCGGGCUCAACCUGGGAACUGCAUCCAAAACUGGCAAGCUAGAGUAUGGUAGAGGGUGGUGGAAUUUCCUGUGUAGCGGUGAAAUGCGUAGAUAUAGGAAGGAACACCAGUGGCGAAGGCGACCACCUGGACUGAUACUGACACUGAGGUGCGAAAGCGUGGGGAGCAAACAGGAUUAGAUACCCCUGUAGUCCCUGUCUCUUAUAU
RNAcentral lists this ribosomal RNA (301 nucleotides) under uncultured bacterium. Its description in RNAcentral is "partial 16S ribosomal RNA". It matches the Rfam family "Bacterial small subunit ribosomal RNA", at positions 509 to 809 of the family's 1533-position model. The record is from RNAcentral.